UACGUAGGGGGCUAGCGUUGUUCGGAAUUACUGGGCGUAAAGGGCGCGUAGGCGGCCUGUUAAGUCGAACGUGAAAUCCCCGGGCUCAACCCGGGAACUGCGUCCGAUACUGGCAGGCUUGAAUCCGGGAGAGGGAUGUGGAAUUCCAGGUGUAGCGGUGAAAUGCGUAGAUAUCUGGAGGAACACCGGUGGCGAAGGCGGCAUCCUGGACCGGUAUUGACGCUGAGGCGCGAAAGCCAGGGGAGCAAACGGG
RNAcentral lists this ribosomal RNA (253 nucleotides) under uncultured bacterium. RNAcentral describes it as "partial 16S ribosomal RNA". It matches the Rfam family "Bacterial small subunit ribosomal RNA", at positions 524 to 776 of the family's 1533-position model. The record is from RNAcentral.